This 455-nucleotide ribosomal RNA is filed under the name uncultured bacterium. RNAcentral describes it as "bacterial SSU rRNA". It matches the Rfam family "Bacterial small subunit ribosomal RNA", at positions 28 to 508 of the family's 1533-position model. The record is from RNAcentral.
GAUGAACGCUGGCGGCGUGCCUAAUACAUGCAAGUCGAACGGAGUGCAGCAAUGUACUUAGUGGCGACCGGGUGCGUAACACGUAGCUGACCUGCCCCUCGGCGGGGGAUAACUAGUCGAAAGGCUAGCUAAUACCGCAUGAUAUCAGGAUGAUUGGAAAGUCCUGAUUAAACUUACGGGGUCGAGGGAGGGGGCUGCGGCCCAUCAGGUAGUUGGUGAGGUAAAAGCUCACCAAGCCAAUGACGGGUAGGGGGCCUGAGAGGGUGGUCCCCCACACUGGGACUGACACACGGCCCAGACUCCUACGGGAGGCAGCAGUAAGGGAUAUUGCGCAAUGGGCGAAAGCCUGACGCAGCAACGCCGCGUGGAGGAUGAAGGGUUUCGGCUCGUAAACUCCUUUUACGUGGGACGAGGAAGGACGGUACCGCGUGAAUAAGUCACGGCUAACUACGUGC